GACGAACGCUGGCGGCGUGCUUAACACAUGCAAGUCGAACGGAAAGGCCCUGCUUUUGUGGGGUGCUCGAGUGGCGAACGGGUGAGUAACACGUGAGUAACCUGCCCUUGACUUUGGGAUAACUUCAGGAAACUGGGGCUAAUACCGGAUAGGAGCUCCUGCUGCAUGGUGGGGGUUGGAAAGUUUCGGCGGUUGGGGAUGGACUCGCGGCUUAUCAGCUUGUUGGUGGGGUAGUGGCUUACCAAGGCUUUGACGGGUAGCCGGCCUGAGAGGGUGACCGGCCACAUUGGGACUGAGAUACGGCCCAGACUCCUACGGGAGGCAGCAGUGGGGAAUAUUGCACAAUGGGCGGAAGCCUGAUGCAGCAACGCCGCGUGCGGGAUGACGGCCUUCGGGUUGUAAACCGCUUUCGCCUGUGACGAAGCGUGAGUGACGGUAAUGGGUAAAGAAGCACCGGCUAACUACGUGCCAGCAGCCGCGGUGAUACGUAGGGUGCGAGCGUUGUCCGGAUUUAUUGGGCGUAAAGGGCUCGUAGGUGGUUGAUCGCGUCGGAAGUGUAAUCUUGGGGCUUAACCCUGAGCGUGCUUUCGAUACGGGUUGACUUGAGGAAGGUAGGGGAGAAUGGAAUUCCUGGUGGAGCGGUGGAAUGCGCAGAUAUCAGGAGGAACACCAGUGGCGAAGGCGGUUCUCUGGGCCUUUCCUGACGCUGAGGAGCGAAAGCGUGGGGAGCGAACAGGCUUAGAUACCCUGGUAGUCCACGCUGUAAACGGUGGGUACUAGGUGUGGGGUCCAUUCCACGGGUUCCGUGCCGUAGCUAACGCUUUAAGUACCCCGCCUGGGGAGUACGGCCGCAAGGCUAAAACUCAAAGGAAUUGACGGGGCCCCGCACAAGCGGCGGAGCAUGCGGAUUAAUUCGAUGCAACGCGUAGAACCUUACCUGGGUUUGACAUGGAUCGGGAGCGCUCAGAGAUGGGUGUGCCUCUUUUGGGGUCGGUUCACAGGUGGUGCAUGGCUGUCGUCAGCUCGUGUCGUGAGAUGUUGGGUUAAGUCCCGCAACGAGCGCAACCCUUGUUCACUGUUGCCAGCACGUUAUGGUGGGGACUCAGUGGAGACCGCCGGGGUCAACUCGGAGGAAGGUGGGGAUGACGUCAAGUCAUCAUGCCCCUUAUGUCCAGGGCUUCACGCAUGCUACAAUGGCUGGUACAGAGAGUGGCGAGCCUGUGAGGGUGAGCGAAUCUCGGAAAACCGGUCUCAGUUCGGAUUGGGGUCUGCAACUCGACCUCAUGAAGUCGGAGUCGCUAGUAAUCGCAGAUCAGCAACGCUGCGGUGAAUACGUUCCCGGG
RNAcentral lists this ribosomal RNA (1343 nucleotides) under uncultured bacterium. RNAcentral describes it as "16S ribosomal RNA". It matches the Rfam family "Bacterial small subunit ribosomal RNA", at positions 28 to 1378 of the family's 1533-position model. The record is from RNAcentral.